CUUGCUAAAUACUAGCACUCAACGAUUUUGCCUCAUGCAACUUAAUUAUUUAUGAUUGUCUAUCCAUUUCUUGUGUUCCUGUAAGAGCUGCUCAAGUGUUGGGAUUCAGUAUUCAAUCAUUCAGACAGCGAUUUUGUAACAUGUUUUCAUUUCAUCAUAAAAAAUCACAGGUCAUAAAUUUGCAAAACAUAUAAACGAAUAAACGUUGUUGUACGUAUUCAACUAGGUACGUCAAUUUGAUUCCGAGAAAAAUCAUAGUAUUUCUUAUCACAAAGGCAUACACUCACAAAUGAAGCAUGCGCGUUACUAUGUCAUACAUCUUAGGGAAGUUGAAUUUUCCCUACGGAUUUAAUUUCAGUGCCACAUUAAAAGGGAAAAAAAAUCUAUGUAUGUUGAAUUAUUUGUAGGAUGUUGAUUGGCUAGCAAGUUUAUUGAUUUUGAAGUUAUAAAAUAUCAAAUACUACAACUGAAAUCAUGAGUGGAUGAAUCCACAAUGCGACUACAACACUAAUUAUAUUAUUCUAUAAAAAUGUAUGUAUAGAUAAUAACAUACCAAUAUAGGACAACUGCGGCUGUUCAAUAUAUAUAUAGUGACAUACAUAAAUAAGUUUGGUUCUGUUAGAAAUAAUUUCCAGAAUCACUUCUGCUAGUAGGGAAAACUUUUGGCAUACUUUUUUUUUUUUUUUUUCUAACGAUUUUUUCCUAAUUAUUUCGUUAUGUUUCGGCAAAUGCACAACAAAUUGGUAUGAGUGCUUGAGGGGAGGUUGUUUUAUUUUUAUAUAUUUUUUAUUUUUUUCAAUGAAGGGGCUGUUUUUGUGAAGUUCUUGGAGCCUGUUCAUGGUAAUCGAUCAAGGGUGACGAAAAUAGGUUUGGGUGCAGAUCCACUUGAGUUUUCGAAAAGGAUUUGAUCAAAAUCAAUGCAGAAUUUUCAGAAUUCAAAUUUCACACCAAUCACCAAGUCACCAGUGGGGUAGGCUGGAAGUUCUUCAAUUUCGAAGGUUAGGAUUAAUGAAAAGGGUGAAUUGAGACCAUUGGGUGUUAGGUCACUCAUGGGUUUCAUAAUGUUUGAUUGAUCAAGAAAGUUGAGUUGAAGAACAAAGACACUAGUUCUUGGGAGGAGGGAAAUUGAGUUGUUUCAUGGAAGAAAGCUGUGACGGUCUUGGUUAUUUGACACAAUAGAGGGGUGGUGCUUCAAGUGGUAAAUUGGCAUGGUUACAAAGAACAUAUUACUAUGGCGAGUUGAGUUUUGGUACAAGGUGGAGGCGUUGCUAAGAAAUAAAGAAUGUGGUUUCCAUUUUUCGGAAAGAGGCUUGCAAGUGAGGGAUACCUAGUCCUCGUACAAGAGGCUUGCCAUUUUGAGUCAAGAUACAAGAUUCGAUAAGAAGUGAUGGUCCACCGAGAUGGUUGUUUUGGUAUGGCAGAGAAGGGGGAGAGUAUCUCUAAAUGGGUGGGUGGAAUAUGGUGGCUUUGAGGUAGUAUCAAAUGUCGGAAAGUAUGUUGCUCAAAUUGAUAUGAAGAAGUUGGACAAUGAAAGUAGACGUGGAAAUUUUCAACAUAGCCUCGUGUCUUUGGUGGUGGACUAGUAUGAAGAUGUUCCUCAAGGUGGAGCUGAAGCAGGUUGUCCUUCGAUUGCUCAAGAUAGUCAUAAAGACGGGUUAACUGCCGAUUAGGUAUGGGUCCGAGGACAUAAAAUUCUUCUAGCCCAAUAAAACACAUAUAUUCCUACAUUGAAUUAUAUUCUACCACCCAAGGUUUUAAAAAUUAGGUUAAUCGUCUGAUUUAAAGGUUUUAUAAAUUGGUUUAACUGGCUGAUUUACUGGUUGAAUUAGAACCACGGUAGUGACCAAUUUAAUAAGUACCAGUUUUAUGCUAAUUCUAUGUCGGAGACAUUUGAUAGGUUUUUGAGAAAGUCCAGUUGAACCGGUUGUAGUGACCCAACUAAAACCCUUGAUAUGCGACUUAACCGGCUGGGCAACUUAGGACUUUUGAUAAUAUCUCACGCUUUAUAAUAAAAUACUUAUAUAAUCGGUAUAAUUUUAUAUAGAACGGAUCGGUUUUAAGUUGGGUUCAACCUAAUGGGUUGGGCCGGUUCCUAUGGGUCGGUUUUAAGUACUAAAACUGAACCUAGAACCCAUUUUCUCAUUUUUUAGAAGUUUAAAUCCAAACCCAACGGUUUGGAUUUGGUUUUGAUUUGUCGGUUUUGGUUUUGUCGGUUUUGGUUUUUCGGUUUUAGUUUUGCUCAACCCUACGUUUUGUAGAUUCAAGACUGCUAAAAGAUCUUACGAUCCUAUUGACUUCUCAAACACCAAGGGCAUGAAUUGGCUUCUCAAACACCAAACAACAUUUUUUUUCUACAAAAUAUUAGCGUUGUGUUGUAACUUUAGUUUAUUAUCUGUCUAUUUUUUUUUUGAACAACUGAUAUUUUAAGAGAAAGUUUGCAAAGGGUAACAAGAACUACAAAGGAAUAUGUAAAAUCAGGUUUGAAAGCCACACAACAUGACUAAUGCUAAAUUUUCUAUUCCUAAGAACAAACCAAUUAUAGGAAUAACCGAUCAAGCUAUCAAUCAACAUAUUCUAUUUCAUCUUUUGUCCUUUAAAGAUAAUAUUGUCCCUGAAGUUCCCAAGCAACAAACACAUAUCCAUGAUAAUGGCUUCAACAUCACAUCGUUCGACAACAAACAAGUGAAGCAAGUCGAUCCAGGUCACCACAUCUUCAAUUUCUAAGAAAGUAGGAAAAGUAACAUCGUAGUAUCGUAUCAUCUCCCAAGAAACUUACAAGGAUCGAUAGCCACCUCAUAAUGAAUGAGAAUAUGAUUGAUGUCUUCCAUGCCACCAUUUCAGAUCAAACAAACCACAGAAGGAACAUCCAAGCCUUUGUCAGCUAAGUUAAGACUAGUUGGUAAUAUGCUUAACCAACAUAUCCAAUUAAAUAUAUUAAAUUUAUGGGAGAUAUAUUUAUUGCACAUGAUAGACCGAGCUCCAUCUGUAAAAGAAGUAUCACCAAUAACUCUACAAGCUUUUAAAACUGUAUAAUCAUCGAGUUCACCAAAAUCCCACACCCACAUAUCUCUUGAAUAUGAGAACUUGAACUACAUGAUAAGGGUUUUUAACA
Lactuca sativa (garden lettuce) is the source of this 3112-nucleotide non-coding RNA. The record is from RefSeq and is a predicted model, not a curated record. Lineage: Eukaryota; Viridiplantae; Streptophyta; Magnoliopsida; Asterales; Asteraceae.